UGGGGGAUAUUGCACAAUGGGGGAAACCCUGAUGCAGCGACGCCGCGUGAGUGAAGAAGUAUGUCGGUAUGUAAAGCUCUAUCAGCAGGGAAGAAAAUGACAGUACCUGACCAAGAAGCCCCGGCUAACUACGUGCCAGCAGCCGCGGUAAUACGUAGGGGGCAAGCGUUAUCCGGAUUUACUGGGUGUAAAGGGAGCGUAGACGGUUAUGUAAGUCUGGAGUGAAAGCCCGGGGCCCAACCCCGGGACUGCUUUGGAAACUGUGUAACUGGAGUACAGGAGGGGCAGGCGGAAUUCCUGGUGUAGCGGUGAAAUGCGUAGAUAUCAGGAGGAACACCGGCGGCGAAGGCGGCCUGCUGGACCAUUACUGACGCUCAUGCACGAAAGCGUGGGGAGCAAACAGG
Molecule: ribosomal RNA, 404 nt
Filed under: uncultured bacterium
Lineage: Bacteria
Description: bacterial SSU rRNA
Rfam family: Bacterial small subunit ribosomal RNA
Source: RNAcentral